RNAcentral lists this ribosomal RNA (2907 nucleotides) under Salmonella enterica. RNAcentral's name for it is "23S ribosomal RNA". It matches the Rfam family "Bacterial large subunit ribosomal RNA". Lineage: Bacteria; Pseudomonadati; Pseudomonadota; Gammaproteobacteria; Enterobacterales; Enterobacteriaceae. RNAcentral also lists the same sequence under 1 other name. The record is from RNAcentral.
GGUUAAGCGACUAAGCGUACACGGUGGAUGCCCUGGCAGUCAGAGGCGAUGAAGGACGUGCUAAUCUGCGAUAAGCGCCGGUAAGGUGAUAUGAACCGUUAUAACCGGCGAUUUCCGAAUGGGGAAACCCAGUGUGUUUCGACACACUAUCAUUACGUGAAUACAUAGCGUAAUGAAGCGAACCGGGGGAACUGAAACAUCUAAGUACCCCGAGGAAAAGAAAUCAACCGAGAUUCCCCCAGUAGCGGCGAGCGAACGGGGAGGAGCCCAGAGCCUGAAUCAGCAUGUGUGUUAGUGGAAGCGUCUGGAAAGGCGCGCGAUACAGGGUGACAGCCCCGUACACAAAAGCGCAUGUGCUGUGAGCUCGAUGAGUAGGGCGGGACACGUGGUAUCCUGUCUGAAUAUGGGGGGACCAUCCUCCAAGGCUAAAUACUCCUGACUGACCGAUAGUGAACCAGUACCGUGAGGGAAAGGCGAAAAGAACCCCGGCGAGGGGAGUGAAAAAGAACCUGAAACCGUGUACGUACAAGCAGUGGGAGCACAGGUUUACCUGUGUGACUGCGUACCUUUUGUAUAAUGGGUCAGCGACUUAUAUUCUGUAGCAAGGUUAACCGAAUAGGGGAGCCGGAGGGAAACCGAGUCUUAACCGGGCGUUAAGUUGCAGGGUAUAGACCCGAAACCCGGUGAUCUAGCCAUGGGCAGGUUGAAGGUUGGGUAACACUAACUGGAGGACCGAACCGACUAAUGUUGAAAAAUUAGCGGAUGACCUGUGGCUGGGGGUGAAAGGCCAAUCAAACCGGGAGAUAGCUGGUUCUCCCCGAAAGCUAUUUAGGUAGCGCCUCGUGAAUUCAUCUCCGGGGGUAGAGCACUGUUUCGGCUAGGGGGCCAUCCCGGCUUACCAACCCGAUGCAAACUGCGAAUACCGGAGAAUGUUAUCACGGGAGACACACGGCGGGUGCUAACGUCCGUCGUGAAGAGGGAAACAACCCAGACCGCCAGCUAAGGUCCCAAAGUCAUGGUUAAGUGGGAAACGAUGUGGGAAGGCCCAGACAGCCAGGAUGUUGGCUUAGAAGCAGCCAUCAUUUAAAGAAAGCGUAAUAGCUCACUGGUCGAGUCGGCCUGCGCGGAAGAUGUAACGGGGCUAAACCAUGCACCGAAGCUGCGGCAGCGACACUGUGUGUUGUUGGGUAGGGGAGCGUUCUGUAAGCCUGUGAAGGUGGCCUGUGAGGGUUGCUGGAGGUAUCAGAAGUGCGAAUGCUGACAUAAGUAACGAUAAAGCGGGUGAAAAGCCCGCUCGCCGGAAGACCAAGGGUUCCUGUCCAACGUUAAUCGGGGCAGGGUGAGUCGACCCCUAAGGCGAGGCCGAAAGGCGUAGUCGAUGGGAAACGGGUUAAUAUUCCCGUACUUGGUGUUACUGCGAAGGGGGGACGGAGAAGGCUAUGUUGGCCGGGCGACGGUUGUCCCGGUUUAAGCGUGUAGGUGUGUGUUCCAGGUAAAUCCGGUUCACUUUAACACUGAGGCGUGACGACGAGGCACUACGGUGCUGAAGCAACAAAUGCCCUGCUUCCAGGAAAAGCCUCUAAGCAUCAGGUAACAUCAAAUCGUACCCCAAACCGACACAGGUGGUCAGGUAGAGAAUACCAAGGCGCUUGAGAGAACUCGGGUGAAGGAACUAGGCAAAAUGGUGCCGUAACUUCGGGAGAAGGCACGCUGACACGUAGGUGAAGUGAUUUACUCAUGGAGCUGAAGUCAGUCGAAGAUACCAGCUGGCUGCAACUGUUUAUUAAAAACACAGCACUGUGCAAACACGAAAGUGGACGUAUACGGUGUGACGCCUGCCCGGUGCCGGAAGGUUAAUUGAUGGGGUCAGCGCAAGCGAAGCUCCUGAUCGAAGCCCCGGUAAACGGCGGCCGUAACUAUAACGGUCCUAAGGUAGCGAAAUUCCUUGUCGGGUAAGUUCCGACCUGCACGAAUGGCGUAAUGAUGGCCAGGCUGUCUCCACCCGAGACUCAGUGAAAUUGAACUCGCUGUGAAGAUGCAGUGUACCCGCGGCAAGACGGAAAGACCCCGUGAACCUUUACUAUAGCUUGACACUGAACAUUGAGCCUUGAUGUGUAGGAUAGGUGGGAGGCUUUGAAGUGUGGACGCCAGUCUGCAUGGAGCCGACCUUGAAAUACCACCCUUUAAUGUUUGAUGUUCUAACGUGGACCCGUUACCCGGGUUGCGGACAGUGUCUGGUGGGUAGUUUGACUGGGGCGGUCUCCUCCUAAAGAGUAACGGAGGAGCACGAAGGUUGGCUAAUCCUGGUCGGACAUCAGGAGGUUAGUGCAAUGGCAUAAGCCAGCUUGACUGCGAGCGUGACGGCGCGAGCAGGUGCGAAAGCAGGUCAUAGUGAUCCGGUGGUUCUGAAUGGAAGGGCCAUCGCUCAACGGAUAAAAGGUACUCCGGGGAUAACAGGCUGAUACCGCCCAAGAGUUCAUAUCGACGGCGGUGUUUGGCACCUCGAUGUCGGCUCAUCACAUCCUGGGGCUGAAGUAGGUCCCAAGGGUAUGGCUGUUCGCCAUUUAAAGUGGUACGCGAGCUGGGUUUAGAACGUCGUGAGACAGUUCGGUCCCUAUCUGCCGUGGGCGCUGGAGAAUUGAGGGGGGCUGCUCCUAGUACGAGAGGACCGGAGUGGACGCAUCACUGGUGUUCGGGUUGUCAUGCCAAUGGCACUGCCCGGUAGCUAAAUGCGGAAGAGAUAAGUGCUGAAAGCAUCUAAGCACGAAACUUGCCCCGAGAUGAGUUCUCCCUGAGACUUUAAGUCUCCUGAAGGAACGUUGAAGACGACGACGUUGAUAGGCCGGGUGUGUAAGCGCAGCGAUGCGUUGAGCUAACCGGUACUAAUGAACCGUGAGGCUUAACCUU